AUCGAACGCUGGCGGCAGGCCUAACACAUGCAAGUCGAGCGGAUGAAGGGAGCUUGCUCCUGGAUUCAGCGGCGGACGGGUGAGUAAUGCCUAGGAAUCUGCCUGGUAGUGGGGGAUAACGUCCGGAAACGGGCGCUAAUACCGCAUACGUCCUGAGGGAGAAAGUGGGGGAUCUUCGGACCUCACGCUAUCAGAUGAGCCUAGGUCGGAUUAGCUAGUUGGUGGGGUAAAGGCCUACCAAGGCGACGAUCCGUAACUGGUCUGAGAGGAUGAUCAGUCACACUGGAACUGAGACACGGUCCAGACUCUUACGGGAGGCAGCAGUGGGGAAUAUUGGACAAUGGGCGAAAGCCUGAUCCAGCCAUGCCGCGUGUGUGAAGAAGGUCUUCGGAUUGUAAAGCACUUUAAGUUGGGAGGAAGGGCAGUAAGUUAAUACCUUGCUGUUUUGACGUUACCAACAGAAUAAGCACCGGCUAACUUCGUG
This 484-nucleotide ribosomal RNA is filed under the name uncultured bacterium. RNAcentral's name for it is "partial 16S ribosomal RNA". It matches the Rfam family "Bacterial small subunit ribosomal RNA", at positions 30 to 507 of the family's 1533-position model. The record is from RNAcentral.